This 358-nucleotide non-coding RNA is filed under the name Paenibacillus sp. RNAcentral's name for it is "T-box sequence". It matches the Rfam family "T-box leader". Rfam says of the family: Uncharged tRNA acts as the effector for transcription antitermination of genes in the T-box leader family. The record is from RNAcentral. Lineage: Bacteria; Bacillati; Bacillota; Bacilli; Caryophanales; Paenibacillaceae.
GAAAACGCAAUGAACAGGAACAGUAGGGUAAUUCCCGGUCAUAGAGAGCUGCGGGGUGGUGCAACGCAGUCGAAGGAAACCUGAAACUCACCUGGAAGCGGAACGAUGGAACACGGUAACUCCCCGGGAGAAGCCGAAGGCCGAUGAUGGCCCAAAGUACAUGGUUACGGGUUGCCUCCGUGAAAGGGCCGUUGUUGAUGGAAUACGGAUGACAUAUCGGUAGAAAAUCAACAAUAACUGAGGGGGCUUUUGUCACUUUGGGCAAUGAUAACGGUAUGGACGCAUACAGGAUCAGCUCGAAGGAAAUGAAAGUCAACAAGAGUGGUACCGCGAAGGUGAACAGCCUGUCGUCUCUUGC